This 441-nucleotide ribosomal RNA is filed under the name uncultured bacterium. Its description in RNAcentral is "bacterial SSU rRNA". It matches the Rfam family "Bacterial small subunit ribosomal RNA", at positions 958 to 1399 of the family's 1533-position model. The record is from RNAcentral.
AACGCGAAGAACCUUACCAGGGUUUGACAUCCUGAGACCGCCCUCUAAUAGGGGUUUUCCCGCAAGGGACUCAGAGACAGGUGCUGCAUGGCUGUCGUCAGCUCGUGUCGUGAGAUGUUGGGUUAAGUCCCGCAACGAGCGCAACCCUUAUCCCUAGUUGCCAUCGGGUCAAGCCGGGCACUCUAGUGAAACUGCCUGGGAUAACCAGGAGGAAGGUGGGGAUGACGUCAAGUCCUCAUGGCCUUUAUGUCCAGGGCUACACACGUGCUACAAUGGCCGGUACAAACCGUCGCAAACCCGCAAGGGGAAGCUAAUCGGAAAAAGCCGGCCUCAGUUCGGAUUGGAGUCUGCAACCCGACUCCAUGAAGCUGGAAUCGCUAGUAAUCGCGGAUCAGAACGCCGCGGUGAAUACGUUCCCGGGCUUGUACACACCGCUCGCGA